UUGUAAGUCAUAUUCAUAAAUGUUUACAGUCUUUCUUUAAUCUUCACUGCUAAUGCUAGUCAACUAGCUAACAUGAGCUAACCUGACAGAAUUGCAACAAGUGUUUAUGUCAUUAUUCUUCAAUGUCUUCAUAAUCUUCAUUGCUAAGUAACAUAAGAUAACCUGGUAUGAUUUCUAAAUGUCCUCUCCACCGCUAGCCAACUAGCUAACAUGUGCUAACCUGACCGGAGUUCCGAGGGGAUGUUUAUAGGUCAGAUUCAGAAAUGUUUAACCAACUAGCAAAGUCAUAUUCUUAAACGAUUAGAACCUUCACAGAUAAUCUUAGCUAGAUAGCUAACAUAAGCUAAUCUGACAGGAUUUCUGAGAGAUGUUUUAAGUCACAUGCAUGAAUGUUUAUAGUCUAUACUGUCCAUGUUAGCCAACUAGCUAACCUGACACGAUUUCUCAUAUUUUCAUAACCUUCACUGAUAUGCUAACUGGAUAGCUAACUUACGCUAACCUGACAGGAUUUCUGAGAGGAUGUUUACAUUAUAUUCAGGACAAGGAUGGCUGGCUGUUUCGAAUCUUCGUCUGUGAACUUUUUUUUUUGUUUGUUUUGUUUGGAUCAUCAGGAAUGUUUUGGAUCAUCGUUCCGUCAAAAGAUCCAGCAACCGCUGUCAGCUUUACCCUUCCUGAAAACGGCAGCCAGAUUCUGCAUUAAAAUGUGCUGGGCAGAGUCCACUGUGCUAUAAAAGACAUUUGUGAUUGAAGAAGACAGCCUACUUACCAUGUUUGGACACCAAAAGGUUUAGUAUAGUACCUUUUAUUUUCUGGCAAUGAUUUUGUUGAGAUUAUGGUUUGGGGGUUCCAGGUACCAUAAUGCUGUACACUCUCAGAAAGGAUGUGUUAAUGUGUAAGAUACACACUUUUUGCAUUAUUACUAUUUCAACACGUAAAUUAUCCUGUUAAAAAAGGGAAAAAUUGCACACGACUGACCAACACGACACGUGUUAAGUUAUUGUCCAAUCAUGUCGCGGACUGCGUUGCCGACGUCAUCAUUCAAAGCGAAUGUUCGCUGCUUUGAGCUUUUGAUCGGGAAGCCGUCGCAAGGUUGUGAUGGACGUGCAAUUACAGAUGUGAUCACACGAGUUCAUCACGACUGGGUGUUUACAAAGAAAUGGCAAUCACCUACCGUAUGUUUUAUAAAUAAAGUUAGAUUUUAAUUGACUCGA
This is a long non-coding RNA of Ictalurus furcatus (blue catfish), 1211 nucleotides long. RefSeq lists it as uncharacterized. The transcript is spliced from 2 exons. The record is from RefSeq and is a predicted model, not a curated record. Lineage: Eukaryota; Metazoa; Chordata; Actinopteri; Siluriformes; Ictaluridae.